AAACUGGUGGUCUCAUGGUUAGGAUUCUGCACUCUCACUGAUGUGGCCUCGGUUCAAUUCCUGGUCAGAGAA
Ameiurus melas (black bullhead) is the source of this 72-nucleotide non-coding RNA. The record is from the annotation of a GenBank genome assembly. Lineage: Eukaryota; Metazoa; Chordata; Actinopteri; Siluriformes; Ictaluridae.